UACAGAGGGGGCAAGCGUUGUUCGGAAUUACUGGGCGUAAAGGGCGCGUAGGCGGCACUGUUAGUCAGGCGUGAAAGUCCUGGGCUCAACCUGGGAACUGCGCUUGAUACGGCAGAGCUAGAGGAUGGAAGAGGGUCGCGGAAUUCCCAGUGUAGAGGUGAAAUUCGUAGAUAUUGGGAAGGAACACCGGUGGCGAAGGCGGCGACCUGGUCCAUUACUGACGCUGAGGCGCGACAGCGUGGGGAGCAAACAGG
This 254-nucleotide ribosomal RNA is filed under the name uncultured bacterium. RNAcentral's name for it is "partial 16S ribosomal RNA". It matches the Rfam family "Bacterial small subunit ribosomal RNA", at positions 524 to 776 of the family's 1533-position model. The record is from RNAcentral.